AGUCUGAGGCCUUUUAGAGACUUCGAGGACUUUCCAGAAGCCUCGAGAAGUCACGUGUUCUCUGGACCUGUGACAAAAGUCCUCGCUUUCUCCAUACUGCCGACAUGAGCUCUCCGGAUGAGGCGGCAGUCCCUGCAGCCUCUGAAGAUAAGGACAGCCCUCCUACCGGUGGUAUGAAUUUCUGGGAUCAGGUGUUUGUUCCUGAAGCCGACUUGGGCCAGGACAGCAGGAAGCGUUUAGGGAACCCAGUGACCAGCCGAAGAGUUCCGGAGGGUCCGAGCCUCUUCCGAGGUCCUCUGGAGAUUGGAGAGGGUGAGGGCAGCCUCCCAGGCCCUGAAAGCAGUGAGUUGGAGUCUGGGGCUAAGUUGGAAGCAACAGAGGAAAGAGGCGGAGUGCUUAGGGAUCCUGAAUGCCAGACCACUUCCCCCAUCGACCAAGAAGAGGUCGACCUGGACUUCUUGCCCCAGCUCAGCAAUGAGGCCAUGACUAUAAUGCGAGAGCUGACCAACCUUCAGACCCGAAAAGUCUGCAGGUACCCAUCCCCACAAACUUAUGCUGCUGAAUUGGCUGCCCUCUGGGAAAACAUAGAUGAAGGCUCCAACAGAAGGGCACUGUCCUUGAGCUCUGUGAAAGGGAAACAGGCCUUCGAAGGUGCACCGUACCCUAGAGGCCUGGGACGAGGCAGAGCCUGGGUGACCCCAAGAAGAGGCACCAUAAGUAGGAUGGUGAGCAGCGAGGUUGUCCAGUAUCCCUCCUCAAACACUGUGUCUUCUGAUGAGUUGAGUGACACUCAAGUGAGGAAAGUAACCACUUGCCUCAAAGAAGGAGACCAGGCCAGGUCCAGUGGCCUCACUGAGCUGGAUAACAUAGGCAAACAUACAACUGUCCAUAGCAGAGGAAAUUUUGUCCAUGUUCCCCCUUCUGUACUGUCUAGUGCUACCUGGGGACUCAGCUCAGGCAUGGAAAGGCAGGCUUCAGCAGAACUGGAAAGUUCUUUGUUUAAGAAAAAGCCAAAUAUGGGCAGGGGCAAAGAAGGAAGCAGGUCCAGCCACCAAGGAGCUACUGCAGCUGCUGCCACUACCUCUGCUGCUGCCCCUGGCUCACCUUCUGCUGCUUCGGGUGCUCUGCACAAGACCAGUCCCAAAAAGAAGCAAGUACAAGAAAAGAACUCCUCCUUAGAUGUGUCAAGAGGACCCCAGGGGAGAAACUUGUCACCGUGGGGACAGAGACUCAAGUCAGCUCCUGUGGGGCUAGCCACCCUACCCCCAAUCUCAGGGGUUGCCCUGCUAGGGAAGGCCAGUAAAUGCUCACUGCCUUCAGGACCCAAAGAGUGUAAGCCCUUCUGCACUGGGAAGAAAUUCAUGGUAAAGAAGUCAAGGGAGACACAGGCAGGGCCCAAAGAAGAUAAUAACUCACCAAGAGAUCCUGGACUGCAGGCCCAAGUUCCACCACACAGGGCAGAGCAGCCUUCCGUGUGCAUGUAUCGUGGAGAAAUGAGCAGUGGAGACUGCAACACCAGAGCAUCUCAAGUUCCAGGAAACCUGCAGUUCCUGUCCUUGAGCCAGAGAUGUCCCAGACCCAGAGCACCUGCCCCUGCUGGUGAAGAAGAUGCAAUUGUGGGCGCGGUACUCCCUGGUGAAGAAAGACAGCAAGAACUACAAGGGACACCAGGCUGUGCUCAGUGUCUGAUGUUCCAGAAGGAAAUAGAUGAACUCAAGGAACAACUAGGGCUGGCACUGCUGUGACCCAGCGUUUGAGGACUGCCUGUUCAUGCCGUUCUCCUGUAGAAAACGUUUGCACAUAGCGCUCGGUGAUGGGUGGGGGAGUCUGUCCCAAGUCUGUCUGCUUGGAUGGGGGUUGGGGGGCAGUGAGGUGGCUGUCCGGAAGUUCCUAUGGAACAGAGACUGGGGCUCAGGCUGGUGGGUUCCUGUGUGUCUUAAGGAGUCUGAAAUACCCAUUUGUUCCUUUGUGUUUCAGCGGUCAUGCAGGCCCUCAACGAAAAGUUACAGGAUCUCUGAAGUUGGACCCAGAUUCUCUCCCCACAGAAGAGGCCAAACUACUCCACCCAGGGAUGCUGCUUCCUUCCAGUUCUUCUACAGCAGUGGUUUCCAGCUUCCUAAUGCUAUGGCCUGUUCAUACAGUUCCCUGUGUCAUGUUAAUCCCCAACCAUAAAGUUAUUUCUGUUGCCGCUUCACAACUGUA
Non-coding RNA from Rattus norvegicus (Norway rat), 2202 nucleotides. Lineage: Eukaryota; Metazoa; Chordata; Mammalia; Rodentia; Muridae. The record is from RefSeq and is a predicted model, not a curated record.